RNAcentral lists this ribosomal RNA (180 nucleotides) under uncultured bacterium. Its description in RNAcentral is "partial 16S ribosomal RNA". It matches the Rfam family "Bacterial small subunit ribosomal RNA", at positions 1319 to 1500 of the family's 1533-position model. The record is from RNAcentral.
CAUGAAGUCGGAAUUGCUAGUAAUCGCGGAUCAGCAUGCCGCGGUGAAUACGUUCCCGGGCCUUGUACACACCGCCCGUCACACCAUGGAGCCGGUAAUACCCGAAGUCAGUAGUCCAACCUCGUGAGGACGCUGCCGAAGGUAGGAUUGGCGACUGGGGUGAAGUCGUAACAAGGUAGC